Molecule: ribosomal RNA, 443 nt
Filed under: uncultured bacterium
Lineage: Bacteria
Description: partial 16S ribosomal RNA
Rfam family: Bacterial small subunit ribosomal RNA
Source: RNAcentral
CCUACGGGUGGCAGCAGUGGGGACUAUUGGGCAAUGGGCGCAAGCCUGACCCAGCAACGCCGCGUGAAGGAAGAAGGCUUUCGGGUUGUAAACUUCUUUUCUCAGGGACGAAGCAAGUGACGGUACCUGAGGAAUAAGCCACGGCUAACUACGUGCCAGCAGCCGCGGUAAUACGUAGGUGGCAAGCGUUAUCCGGAUUUAUUGGGUGUAAAGGGCGUGUAGGCGGGACAGCAAGUCAGAUGUGAAAACUAAGGGCUCAACCCAGGGCCUGCAUUUGAAACUGUAUUUCUUGAGUACUGGAGAGGCAGACGGAAUUCCGGGUGUAGCGGUGAAAUGCGUAGAUAUAAGGAGGAACACCAGUGGCGAAGGCGGAUUGCUGGACAGCAACUGACGCUGAGGCGCGAAAGCGUGGGGAGCAAACAGGAUUAGAUACCCUUGUAGUC